GAUGAAGAACGUAGCGAAAUGCGAUAAGUAAUGUGAAUUGCAGAAUUCAGUGAAUCAUCGAAUCUUUGAACGCACAUUGCGCCCGCCAGUAUUCUGGCGGGCAUGCCUGUUCGAGCGUCAUUUCAACCAUCAAGCCCCCGGCUUGUGUUGGGGACCUGCGGCGGCCGCAGGCCCUGAAAAGCAGUGGCGGGCUCGCUGUCACACCGAGCGUAGUAGCAUACAUCUCGCUCUGGGCGUGCUGCGGGUUCCGGCCGUUAAACCACCUUAAUAACCCAAGGUUGACCUCGGAUCAGGUAGGAAGACCCGCUGAACUUAAGCAUAUCAAUAAGCGGAGGA
Molecule: unclassified non-coding RNA, 336 nt
Filed under: soil metagenome
Description: partial contains 5.8S ribosomal RNA, internal transcribed spacer 2, and large subunit ribosomal RNA
Rfam family: 5.8S ribosomal RNA (bases 1-120)
Source: RNAcentral